GCGAUGGUGAUGAAAUGGUAGACAUGCUAGCUUGAGGUGCUAGUGGCCGCUCGGCCGUGGGGGUUCAAGUCCCCCCCGUCGCA
This 83-nucleotide transfer RNA is filed under the name Entomospira culicis. It matches the Rfam family "tRNA". Rfam says of the family: Transfer RNA (tRNA) molecules are approximately 80 nucleotides in length. Their secondary structure includes four short double-helical elements and three loops (D, anti-codon, and T loops). Lineage: Bacteria; Pseudomonadati; Spirochaetota; Spirochaetia; Spirochaetales; Spirochaetaceae. The record is from Rfam by way of RNAcentral.